RNAcentral lists this ribosomal RNA (737 nucleotides) under Bacillus amyloliquefaciens. RNAcentral describes it as "bacterial SSU rRNA". It matches the Rfam family "Bacterial small subunit ribosomal RNA", at positions 56 to 769 of the family's 1533-position model. The record is from RNAcentral. Lineage: Bacteria; Bacillati; Bacillota; Bacilli; Caryophanales; Bacillaceae.
UGCAGUCGAGCGGACAGAUGGGAGCUUGCUCCCUGAUGUUAGCGGCGGACGGGUGAGUAACACGGUGGGUAACCUGCCUGUAAGACUGGGAUAACUCCGGGAAACCGGGGCUAAUACCGGAUGGUUGUUUGAACCGCAUGGUUCAGACAUAAAAAGGUGGCUUCGGCUACCACUUACAGAUGGACCCGCGGCGCAUUAGCUAGUUGGUGAGGUAACGGCUCACCAAGGCAACGAUGCGUAAGCCGACCUGAGAGGGUGAUCGGCCACACUGGGACUGAGACACGGCCCAGACUCCUACGGGAGGCAGCAGUAGGGAAUCUUCCGCAAUUGGACGAAAGUCUGACGGAGCAACGCCGCGUGAGUGAUGAAGGUUUUCGGAUCGUAAAGCUCUGUUGUUAGGGAAGAACAAGUGCCGUUCAAAUAGGGCGGCACCUUGACGGUACCUAACCAGAAAGCCACGGCUAACUACGUGCCAGCAGCCGCGGUAAUACGUAGGUGGCAAAGCGUUGUCCGGAAUUAUUGGGCGUAAAGGGCUCGCAGGCGGUUUCUUAAGUCUGAUGUGAAAGCCCCCGGCUCAACCGGGGAGGGUUCAUUGGAAACUGGGGAACUUGAGUGCAGAAGAGGAGAGUGGAAUUCCACGUGUAGCGGUGAAAUGCGUAGAGAUGUGGAGGAACACCCAGUGGCGAAGGCGACUCUCUGGUCUGUAACUGACGCUGAGGAGCGAAAGCGUGGGGAGC